RNAcentral lists this transfer RNA (79 nucleotides) under Tropicibacter alexandrii. RNAcentral's name for it is "tRNA-Thr(cgt)". The record is from RNAcentral. Lineage: Bacteria; Pseudomonadati; Pseudomonadota; Alphaproteobacteria; Rhodobacterales; Roseobacteraceae.
CCAUGUUGCAGCAGGACAGCUACAUGCUGUUCGUAUCGGCAGACAGCCCCUACCAGACGUUCGACGCGUUCGUCGCGGC